RNAcentral lists this ribosomal RNA (806 nucleotides) under Priotyrannus closteroides. RNAcentral describes it as "partial 12S ribosomal RNA". Lineage: Eukaryota; Metazoa; Arthropoda; Insecta; Coleoptera; Cerambycidae. The record is from RNAcentral.
AAUAAUUUAAUUUAACUUUUUCGGCUGUUAGUUAAUUAUUAGGGUUAAAGCUUUAAUUUUAGGUUUAUUAGGUGAAAUUUUAAAUUUAAAAUAAAUGCUAUUUUAAAUGAGGCUAAGAAAUUCUUUAUUUAAACUAGGAUUAGAUACCCUAUUAUUUUGAAUGUAAAUUAUUUUUUUGCUUGAUUAGUAUUAGUUAUUUUCUUGAAAAUUAAAGAUUUUGGCGGUAUUUUAGUCUAUUCAGAGGAACCUGUCCUGUAAUCGAUGGUCCACGAGUGUCGCUACUUUUUUAAAAUGUUUGUAUAUCGUCGUAGUUUGAACAUUUUUUUAGGAAAUUAAUGUUCAUGAUUUUAUUUAUAAAGGAGAUCAGAUCAAGGUGCAGCUAUAGGGAAGGAGAGAUGGGUUACAAUAAAUUUAUUUUAGGAUUGAGGGUUUUAAGCUUUCAUAAAUGCGGAUUUGAGGGUAAUUUUAAUUUAAUAGUUAGUAUGAUUUGGCUCUAAAAUAUGCACAUAUCGCCCGUCGCUUUCAUUACAAGGUGAAAUAAGUCGUAACAUAGUAGUCUUACUGGAAGGUGAGUCUAGACAGAUCAGGUUAGAGCUUGGUAUAAAGCAUUUUAUUUACAUUAAAAGGUUAAUUGUGAGAUUCAAUUUGACUUGAAUUGAGUGAAUUAUUAUUAUUAUUUGGUAAGUUGAUGUUAAAAUAAGAAAAUUAGGAGUUUUAUUAUUGUGUAAGAAUAAAUUUUAUUAAUUUUAGUUUAUUAGUAUUGUGAGAGAAUUUAGUUUUAUGUUUGAAAGAAGAUUUAAUUUUUU